UAUUAGCAUGCACCCAUUUACUCUGCUACACAUAUAUGCCGUAUCCGAAAGUAAAAAUAAAUAAAAAGAAAGGGAGAGGUCUCUCACAGGGGAUAAUAGGAUUUGUGAAGCAUCGAGUUUAGUGGAUAGAGAAAGAACAAGUGCUAGACUAGAUUACCUUCCUAAUAAGGAAUAAGAUAUCAAUGAUUCGUGGGUUGAUGUGAGUUACAGUUAUUAUAAGGGGUCGGCGACUGAGGCGUUUUCGCAACCUUCUCUUCCUCAUCAUUUUUGCAUAUAGAUAAAUGUAUAGUAUAUAGAAUGGUGAGAGGGUCCAACUACUGUUCAGAAUGUUUUGAAAUAUGUAUUUGAUAAAUGUUGAUUUUUAAAA
Molecule: non-coding RNA, 367 nt
Organism: Salvia hispanica
Lineage: Eukaryota; Viridiplantae; Streptophyta; Magnoliopsida; Lamiales; Lamiaceae
Source: RefSeq, a predicted model, not a curated record